GAUUUCAAGUUUGGACAAAUGAUCUCUAACCCAAUCUUCUACAACCAAGGACAAGUCUUCCUUUCUCCAGGCUUCCUCUCUUGUCUUCAGGGUCUGG
This is a non-coding RNA of Tinamus guttatus (white-throated tinamou), 97 nucleotides long. NCBI's taxonomy places the organism in Eukaryota, Metazoa, Chordata, Aves, Tinamiformes, Tinamidae. The record is from RefSeq and is a predicted model, not a curated record.